RNAcentral lists this ribosomal RNA (504 nucleotides) under uncultured bacterium. Its description in RNAcentral is "partial 16S ribosomal RNA". It matches the Rfam family "Bacterial small subunit ribosomal RNA", at positions 29 to 523 of the family's 1533-position model. The record is from RNAcentral.
AUUGAACGCUGGCGGCAGGCCUAACACAUGCAAGUCGAGCGGUAGCACAGAGAGCUUGCUCUCGGGUGACGAGCGGCGGACGGGUGAGUAAUGUCUGGGAAACUGCCUGAUGGAGGGGGAUAACUACUGGAAACGGUAGCUAAUACCGCAUAACGUCGCAAGACCAAAGUGGGGGACCUUCGGGCCUCAUGCCAUCAGAUGUGCCCAGAUGGGAUUAGCUAGUGGGUGGGGUAACGGCUCACCUAGGCGACGAUCCCUAGCUGGUCUGAGAGGAUGACCAGCCCCACUGGAACUGAGACACGGGCCAGACUCCUACGGGAGGCAGCGGUGGGGAAUAUUGCACAAUGGGCGCAAGCCUGAUGCAGCCAUGCCGCGUGUGUGAAGAAGGCCUUCGGGUUGUAAAGCACUUUCAGCGGGGAGGAAGGCGGUGAGGUUAAUAACCUCAUCGAUUGACGUUACCCGCAGAAGAAGCACCGGCUAACUCCGUGCCAGCCGCCGCAGUAA